CAGUAGCCGCGGUAAUACGUAGGUGGCAAGCGUUGUCCGGAAUUAUUGGGCGUAAAGGGCUCGCAGGCGGUUUCUUAAGUCUGAUGUGGAAGCCCCCGGCUCAACCGGGGAGGGUCAUUGGAAACUGGGAAACUUGAGUGCAGAAGAGGAGAGUGGAAUUCCACGUGUAGCGGUGAAAUGCGUAGAGAUGUGGAGGAACACCAGUGGCGAAGGCGACUCUCUGGUCUGUAACUGACGCUGAGGAGCGAAAGCGUGGGGAGCGAACAGGAUUAGAUACCCCUGUAGUCCCUGUCUCUUAUAU
This 301-nucleotide ribosomal RNA is filed under the name uncultured bacterium. RNAcentral describes it as "partial 16S ribosomal RNA". It matches the Rfam family "Bacterial small subunit ribosomal RNA", at positions 509 to 809 of the family's 1533-position model. The record is from RNAcentral.